CCUACGGGUGGCUGCAGUAGGGAAUAUUGCACAAUGGGCGAAAGCCUGAUGCAGCAACGCCGCGUGCGCGAAGAAGGUCUUCGGAUCGUAAAGCGCUUUUCGGGGAGAUGAGGAAGGACAGUAUCCCCGGAAUAAGGCUCGGCUAACUACGUGCCAGCAGCCGCGGUAAAACGUAGGAGCCAAGCGUUAUCCGAAUUCACUGGGCGUAAAGCGCGUGCAGGCGGUCUGGUAAGUUGGAUGUGAAAUCUCCUGGCUCAACUGGGAGAGGCCGUUCAAUACUGUCAGACUAGAGGGCGACAGAGGGAGGUGGAAUUCCGGGUGUAGUGGUGAAAUGCGUAGAUAUCCGGAGGAACACCAGAGGCGAAGGCGACCUCCUGGGUCGUACCUGACGCUCAGACGCGAAAGCUAGGGGAGCGAACGGGAUUAGAUACCCGGGUAGUCAG
Molecule: ribosomal RNA, 443 nt
Filed under: uncultured bacterium
Lineage: Bacteria
Description: bacterial SSU rRNA
Rfam family: Bacterial small subunit ribosomal RNA
Source: RNAcentral